Long non-coding RNA from Tetranychus urticae (two-spotted spider mite), 2107 nucleotides. RefSeq lists it as uncharacterized. NCBI's taxonomy places the organism in Eukaryota, Metazoa, Arthropoda, Arachnida, Trombidiformes, Tetranychidae. The record is from RefSeq and is a predicted model, not a curated record.
UGCAUUGAAAAUAAGAUGUUUUAGAUGUUAAUUAAUUUUAUCUUGUGUUUUGCUUAAAGUUUAAUCAAAUGGUCAUCUUAUUUUAUGCUUACCUUGACUUGGAUUUCAUGGUUAUAUUGGUUAAAUGGUCGACUUGACAAAAUUGGCCAUUUUGAUUGGUCAAACAUUGCUCUGGUCUCACAAGUUUGAUUAUUUUUUCAUGAUUUCCAGAUUUGUAAUCUUCCAUGAUGGCUACAAAAUGGAUUGAAAAUGGAUUAAACACCUUUUUCUUUAAAUGAACAGAUUUACCUGGAUCAGCCUGGUCAACAUUACCACUAUCAUCGUCAGCUGAACAUUGGACAACCAGGGAUAGCCAUCCGGCCCAUAAUAGCGAGUACAAAAGCUUCAUUACGGAAUAUACACAGAGUUAAGAUGGAUCAACGAGAUAAUUGGAUAAAUACUCUUGAAACAAAGAUUCACUUGGUGUUAAUCGAUACUUAAACUAACUCUAAUUGUGUAGACUGGAUGGAAACUCACUCAUUUCAGUUGCAACUCAUAAAUCAUUGCCAUUGGUGCGGUGAAACUCGGACGACUUUCCUUGUUUCAACAUGGAGAUGCAAACCAAUGCCUAUUACUGAUUUCAUUACCUCAAUGGAUGCUCUUUAGCUAUCUAAAGUUAAUCAACAAAUUUCAACCGUUGACCAAAUCAAAAACAAGCCAACACAGAACCUUGGUCAAUCAGCUUGUCAUGAUUCUUAACAGAGUUAAUUAUCCCAUGAGAAUUGAGAACCGUCCGCAGAUGCAACUGGAUAUAGGAACAAAGAUUAAUUACCUUUACCACAAUUAUUAAGGUUCCUUGGUUCAUCCCACCAAUUUCAACUUUCCUCCAUUUUCAUACUUUUACAAUCUAAUGAAUCACGAUUAAUUAAUGUAUUAAUUGAGUUGUAAUUGAAAAAAAGAAAGGGAAAUUUAUUUUCAAUUUCAACCAUUUAAUCCAAGAGAUGGGUCAGAGAUGGCAUAAAAAGCGACAUGAGGAAAGGACAGAAAAGGUAUUGACAGACUGAAAGUGAAGUCAAUGAGUUUAAUGAAUUGUCUUCUUGUUUACCUUUCCAAGUUAACAUUACCAGCCAUAUUAAUAAUGAAUAUUAUCAUUAUUAUUAUUUGUUAAAGGCAUCAUCAGUCAACCAUCAAUGAUUCCCUUAAUUAUAACCAUUCAACAAGUUUAUAAGUAAAUGAGGUUAAUGUCCGUUAAUGUUUAACUUUUCCAGUUUCUUGUUAAUCAAAUUUUCUUGCAUUGAAUUACCAGAAGUAGCAGGCAAAGAAGAAGACCAAAUGAGCUUAAAUAAACCGCAAUUAACUCACCAUCUAGAAUCAAAAAGAGGACACAAUAGUCACUUAAUAUGAAUAAUUUGAUAAGAAUAAGAUGUAUAAUUAAGUUGAAGGGCGCCGUUGAAUGUAGUCAAUAUAAUUAACAUCGUUAGCAUAUUUAAUUUGAUGGUCGAAAACCAUAAUCACAAUUUCAAUGGUUAACCUUAAAAACCUCCAUCUCACAAAAACCUUUUUACAGUAGCAAUCAAGACGCUCCUUUUAUUUCUUACCUGUAUUUGUUGUACUUUCAUCAACAUCAUUUCCUCUCAUCAUUUGUCAUCAUCAUUAUCAACAUCUCUCAACACUGGUUUAAUUAAAUUACCAACCUGAUUGAAUGCGAAAAGCCAAUUGUUUGCAUUUAAUGUUAAGGUGUGUGGGAAUCGCUAUUACUCUUUCCUUUGCUCAUUACAAGUCUGAUUGUGUCCAUUGAUGAAACAAGGAAACUAUCCAUAAUUAAAAAGGAUCAUUUUAAUGUUUCCAGCUGAAGGGUUUGCCAUUUUAGAGCUAAUUGUUAAUCAUUUGCGACUUGAAAUGGUCACUUUGGUCAACAACUAGACUUUGGGUUAACACGCUUUUGCAUGUCUAAACCAUUUUACUUGGAAACAUUUUUCUACCUUUGCGGUAAUUUUGCUAUUUCAACAAAAUCUUUUUUUUCUCAGCUAUAUUUUUAAUCAUUUUGUGUUUUAAUUUCAAGUCAACCUUAUUAACUUGUAACUGUAUUGAAAUAAUCAAAACUUAUUAACAUUUACAUUUAUAAUUA